This 468-nucleotide ribosomal RNA is filed under the name uncultured bacterium. RNAcentral's name for it is "partial 16S ribosomal RNA". It matches the Rfam family "Bacterial small subunit ribosomal RNA", at positions 28 to 507 of the family's 1533-position model. The record is from RNAcentral.
GAUGAACGCUGGCGGCGUGCUUAACACAUGCAAGUCGAACGAAAAGGCCCUGCUUUUGUGGGGUGCUCGAGUGGCGAACGGGUGAGUAACACGUGAGUAACCUGCCCUUGACUUUGGGAUAACUUCAGGAAACUGGGGCUAAUACCGGAUAGGAGCUCCUGCUGCAUGGUGGGGGUUGGAAAGUGUCGGCGGUUGGGGAUGGACUCGCGGCUUAUCAGCUUGUUGGUGGGGUAGUGGCUUACCAAGGCUUUGACGGGUAGCCGGCCUGAGAGGGUGACCGGCCACAUUGGGACUGAGAUACGGCCCAGACUGCUACGGGAGGCAGCAGUGGGGAAUAUUGCACAAUGGGCGGAAGCCUGAUGCAGCAGCGCCGCGUGCGGGAUGACCGCCUUCGGGUUGUGAACCGCUUUCGCCUGUGCCGAAGCGUUAGUGACGGUAAUGGGUAAAGAAGCACCGGCUAACUACGUG